AAGUCGUAACAAGGUUUCCGUAGGUGAACCUGCGGAAGGAUCAUUAAAGAGAAAGGGGGCUAAACACCCCGACCUCCAACCCUCUGUUGUUAAAACUACCUUUGUUGCUUUGGCGGGACCGUUUUCGGUUUCCAACCGGGCCGCCGGGCACCUUCACGGGUGUCAAGGCGAGUUCCCGCCAGAGUUAAACCAAACUCUUGUUAUUUAAACCGGUCGUCUGAGUAAAUUUUUUUGAAUUAAAUCAAAA
Molecule: unclassified non-coding RNA, 247 nt
Filed under: plant metagenome
Description: partial contains small subunit ribosomal RNA and internal transcribed spacer 1
Rfam family: Eukaryotic small subunit ribosomal RNA (bases 1-46)
Source: RNAcentral